This 103-nucleotide ribosomal RNA is filed under the name Flavivirga aquimarina. The record is from RNAcentral. Lineage: Bacteria; Pseudomonadati; Bacteroidota; Flavobacteriia; Flavobacteriales; Flavobacteriaceae.
UGGUUAUAGCGAUGGGGCUCACCUCUUACCAUUCCGAACAGAGAAGUUAAGCCCAUUAGCGCCGAUGGUACUGCAUUUGUGGGAGAGUAGGUCGUUGCCUUUU